AGAGUUUGAUCCUGGCUCAGAUUGAACGCUGGCGGCAGGCCUAACACAUGCAAGUCGAGCGGUAGAGAGAAGCUUGCUUCUCUUGAGAGCGGCGGACGGGUGAGUAAUGCCUAGGAAUCUGCCUGGUAGUGGGGGAUAACGUUCGGAAACGGACGCUAAUACCGCAUACGUCCUACGGGAGAAAGCAGGGGACCUUCGGGCCUUGCGCUAUCAGAUGAGCCUAGGUCGGAUUAGCUAGUUGGUGAGGUAAUGGCUCACCAAGGCGACGAUCCGUAACUGGUCUGAGAGGAUGAUCAGUCACACUGGAACUGAGACACGGUCCAGACUCCUACGGGAGGCAGCAGUGGGGAAUAUUGGACAAUGGGCGAAAGCCUGAUCCAGCCAUGCCGCGUGUGUGAAGAAGGUCUUCGGAUUGUAAAGCACUUUAAGUUGGGAGGAAGGGCAGUUACUUAAUACGUGAUUGUUUUGACGUUACCGACAGAAUAAGCACCGGCUAACUCUGUGCCAGCAGCCGCGGUAAU
RNAcentral lists this ribosomal RNA (521 nucleotides) under uncultured Gammaproteobacteria bacterium. RNAcentral describes it as "bacterial SSU rRNA". It matches the Rfam family "Bacterial small subunit ribosomal RNA", at positions 8 to 524 of the family's 1533-position model. Lineage: Bacteria; Pseudomonadati; Pseudomonadota; Gammaproteobacteria. The record is from RNAcentral.